Cebus imitator (Panamanian white-faced capuchin) is the source of this 163-nucleotide small nuclear RNA. Its record names the gene U1. It matches the Rfam family "U1 spliceosomal RNA". From Rfam's summary of the family: U1 is a small nuclear RNA (snRNA) component of the spliceosome (involved in pre-mRNA splicing). Its 5' end forms complementary base pairs with the 5' splice junction, thus defining the 5' donor site of an intron. The record is from Ensembl. Lineage: Eukaryota; Metazoa; Chordata; Mammalia; Primates; Cebidae.
AUUCUUAUCUCCAGGGGAGAUACCACGAUGAUGAAGGUGGUUUUCCCAGGGCGAGGCUUAUCCAUUGCACUCCGCAUGUGUUGACCCCUGUGAUUUCCCCAAAUGUGGGAAACUCGACUGAAUAAUUGGUGGUAGUGGGGGACUGCAUUCACGCUUUCCCCUG